CCCUUAGAUGUUCUGGGCCGCACGCGUGCUACACUGAGUGGAUCAGCGGGUCAGGUUGCGCGAAAGUGUUUCCUAAUCUUUAAAUCCGCUCGUGAUGGGGAUUGACGGUUGCAAUUUUCCGUCAUGAACGAGGAAUACCUUGUAAGCGCGGGUCAUCAUCCCGCGCUGAAUACGUCCCUGCCCUUUGUACACACCGCCCGUCGCUCCUACCGAUUGAAUGAUCCGAUGAAUAUCAUGGAUUGAGGAUGCAAGCAGGUUCGCCUGUCUUCAUCUUCGAGAAGUGAAGUAAAUCUUAUCAUUUAGAGGAGGGAGAAGUCGUAACA
This 323-nucleotide ribosomal RNA is filed under the name uncultured eukaryote. Its description in RNAcentral is "partial 18S ribosomal RNA". It matches the Rfam family "Eukaryotic small subunit ribosomal RNA", at positions 1470 to 1796 of the family's 1831-position model. The record is from RNAcentral.